Anguilla anguilla (European eel) is the source of this 1299-nucleotide long non-coding RNA. RefSeq lists it as uncharacterized. The transcript is spliced from 2 exons. The record is from RefSeq and is a predicted model, not a curated record. NCBI's taxonomy places the organism in Eukaryota, Metazoa, Chordata, Actinopteri, Anguilliformes, Anguillidae.
UUUUGUAUUCUAUUUUUGAAUUGCAAAAAUAAAAUAAAUAAAUAAAUAAAGUUAUUUCCUCGGGGGUUCAAAGGUGACGUCGUUACGUGGGUGAUGAUGGGAAACGAGUGACGUAAACGUCAAUGUACUGUUUUGAAUCUUUGGCGGGGUCGUUGGCAGCUGUUUCCCCCGAAGGUCGGUUUGGUCGCUGUGUUUUCAUUUUGCUUUAUGUCGGUUUUGUCUUUGUUGAAAAACUCCUGGUCGGGUGGAUUACUGGUGAUAUUUGGAGAGCCUGCUUUCCAUUGCUGAAGAGUCCGAUUCCGUUUCCGGCAGAUAUUGGUGGUUUUUGUUUGGCAAUGUUCACCUUUUUAUCCAUAUAUUGACGUUUUUGGGGAUUUGCGUGGGUCACUCAAGGGUUACACGAACUUAUGAGCGGGAGAAGAGCCGAGAACAGACAGGGCGCCGGCCGGCAGAAGGCAUCGGAAGGGAAAAUAUGGGCGAUCGCCUACGUGGCAAACAGAACUGCCCAGUCCCGUACCGGCGCUGUCAUUGGUCCUGAUGACAGAAGGAUCGCACCCAUGACAACAAGAGGAGGCUGUUGCAGCCACGUGCGCAGGCCACAACAUAAGCACAGAUUCAUGCGUUGGGUGAAUUCUUGCAGAGCCCUUGUAACAAACCAAGUCUUUUCUAAGUACACACAUAAGUGAUACACUUGGAUAAUCAUUCUCUCUCAUGUGUUACUGAACUGAGAUAAUUCAGCUCUUGUUGUAACUCUGUUUAUUUCUUCAUUUAUUUCUUCCUGAGACAAAAGUGCAUCAUUCAUACAGAGCACACACUCAAGCUAAAAUAUACAACGUAAACGUACAAUUGUUUUGUGUCCACAAAGUGCCAAAAAUGAUUGAUAAGUGAACCUGUAGUAUGUAUAUUGUACUUGUCCAGCCAACUGGAGUGUGAACAGUGUCUGUCCACAGCCCUAGUCCUGUUUACUUACCAAAUUAAAUGCACAGUGGUCAGUUGCUUUGACUGAAUAACUGAACAAAAUUUGGCACCAACUGCCACUCCCCCCCCCCCCCCCCCCCCCCAUUAGUGUUUGAUUUAGAAUCAACAUUUUUAAAUCACAGAUUGAUUAAAUCAAGGUUGCGUAAAGCCUUUGCAUAGGUUAUUAUUUUGGUUAAUUACUUGACACACAGGUAAAAUAGUAGGCGUGUCUAUCUCACACACACAUGCCUCUCAAUAUAUAUUAUGCACUCAAUAUAAUUUUCUUUUGUAUGCUAAACAUUGUGGACGCUAAACACAAAUAAACCUUUGACCAACAUUAAA